This 982-nucleotide long non-coding RNA is filed under the name Sorghum bicolor (sorghum). RNAcentral's name for it is "long non-coding RNA (SBIC_LNC006476)". The record is from RNAcentral. Lineage: Eukaryota; Viridiplantae; Streptophyta; Magnoliopsida; Poales; Poaceae.
AUGAUGAGAGUUUAAAUUCCUACCACAACCAUAUAUACAUGCUUGCUAGACUUUGAGCCACACAUUUACUAUUUACUGCUUAUGAGCAUUGAGCGUGGUCAAGCUGUGUAGACCCUUAGGAGCUUGUCAUGUGGUUAAAUCAAGAUUUCACUUGCACGUUCACUCAUAUAUGCUACUUCUACUCCGGAAGCACCAUCCACAUAUAUCCACCCAUUUCCAUCUCUAGAACCACCCAAAAAUAUUCUACUCCUAAUCCGGUAGAGAAUAGCCAAAAAUAUUUCUGUUUUCCCCUGUGAAAUAAAUACUCAAGUUAUCUUGUUACUACCACUUGCUAUAUUAUCUCAAGAGAUGAGUGCUCUAAUAAAAACAAAGAGAGGUACGAGAAAAUAAAAAGGAGCAAGUGCUCGGAACCUCGAAAGGAAAGAAAAAGAGUGAGACAAGAGGUAAAAAUGGACAAGUGUCCGACAGUAGAAUUAGGGGUACAAGAUACCCACCUGAGAUAAAAGAAAAAAUAUAGAGCAUCUCAUUCUCCUCAUAAAGUUACUGAAAGCAAGGAAGGUAUGUAUCCCCUCAAAGAGCAAAAGUAGAAUUAGACUUUCACCAUUGUUACCACCAUCAUCACCAUACACCAUUCAUUCGCCACACAUGCACAUCUUGAUUAAACUUAUUGAUUUGUUUCUUUGGAUCCAUGGUUUGACUAUGCAAUAAAUGUCUUGUAAGUAUGUAUAUUUUAUCUCCCACCUAUGAGCUCCAGAUAUUAAAGCCGUAUUAGAGUAGGGUGAGAGACAAGGCAAUGUCAUUAUGCUUCAUACCACAGAUACUACAUAUCUUGAGAGAAGGCAUAUACCAUCACUGCCUUGGUAAGGAUCCAGAAAUACCACAAAAGAAAGAUUUGAGAGAAUCAUACAAGGAAUCUCUGAGUUUUAUUUUAAAAUCUGCAAAAACUUCAGAGCUAUAGCUGAUCAAGAAAAAGAGACAUGGC